UCUCAAAGAUUAAGCCAUGCAUGUCUAAGUUCACACCCUCGUACGGUGAAACCGCGAAUGGCUCAUUAAAUCAGUCGAGGUUCCUUAGAUGAUCCAUUUCUACUUGGAUAACUGUGGUAAUUCUAGAGCUAAUACAUGCCCAACAGCUCCGACCCCGGGCUUCGCGGUUCGGGGAAAGAGCGCUUUUAUUAGUUCAAAACCAGUCGGGGGUUUCGGCCCUCGUGCUUUGGUGACUCUGGAUAACUUUGAGCCGAUCGCAUGGCCUCGAGCCGGCGACGCAUCUUUCAAAUGUCUGCCCUAUCAAAUGACGACGGUACGUGAUCUGCCUACCGUGUUGACUACGGGUAGCGGGGAAUCAGGGUUCGAUUCCGGAGAGGGAGCAUGARAAACGGCUACCACAUCCAAGGA
RNAcentral lists this ribosomal RNA (408 nucleotides) under Bellamya dispiralis. Its description in RNAcentral is "SSU rRNA". It matches the Rfam family "Eukaryotic small subunit ribosomal RNA", at positions 35 to 424 of the family's 1831-position model. The record is from RNAcentral. RNAcentral also lists the same sequence under 2 other names. Lineage: Eukaryota; Metazoa; Mollusca; Gastropoda; Architaenioglossa; Viviparidae.